This 502-nucleotide ribosomal RNA is filed under the name uncultured bacterium. Its description in RNAcentral is "partial 16S ribosomal RNA". It matches the Rfam family "Bacterial small subunit ribosomal RNA", at positions 899 to 1397 of the family's 1533-position model. The record is from RNAcentral.
ACUCAAAGGAAUUGACGGGGGCCCGCACAAGCGGUGGAGUAUGUGGUUUAAUUCGACGCAACGCGAAGAACCUUACCAGACCUUGACAUGGGAACUAUGAGCUACAGAGAUGUAGUUCUUCACUUCGGGUGGGUUCCACACAGGUGCUGCAUGGCUGUCGUCAGCUCGUGUCGUGAGAUGUUGGGUUAAGUCCCGCAACGAGCGCAACCCUCAUCUUCAGUUGCCACCAGGUCAAGCUGGGCACUCUGAAGAAACCGCCGGUGACAAGCCGGAGGAAGGCGGGGAUGACGUCAAGUCCUCAUGGCCCUUACGGUCUGGGCUACACACGUACUACAAUGGUGGUGACAGUGGGCUGCGAAGUCGCAAGAUGGAGCCAAUCCCCAAAAGCCAUCUCAGUUCAGAUUGCACUCUGCAACUCGAGUGCAUGAAGUUGGAAUCGCUAGUAAUCGCAGAUCAGCACGCUGCGGUGAAUACGUUCCCGGGCCUUGUACACACCGCCCGU